UACAGAGGGGGCUAGCGUUGUUCGGAAUUACUGGGCGUAAAGGGCGCGUAGGCGGCCCGCUAAGUCGAACGUGAAAGCCCGGGGCCCAACCCCGGAACUGCAUCUGAAACUGCCUGGCUAGAGUCCCGGAGAGGAAGGCAGAAUUCCCGGUGUAGGGGUGAAAUCCGUAGAUAUCAGGAGGAACACCGGUGGCGAAGGCGGGUCUCUGGGCCGACACUGACGCUGAGGAGCGAAAGCGUGGGGAGCAAACAGG
RNAcentral lists this ribosomal RNA (253 nucleotides) under uncultured bacterium. RNAcentral's name for it is "partial 16S ribosomal RNA". It matches the Rfam family "Bacterial small subunit ribosomal RNA", at positions 524 to 776 of the family's 1533-position model. The record is from RNAcentral.